ACAACGGAGAGUUUGAUCCUGGCUCAGGAUGAACGCUGGCGGCGUGCUUAACACAUGCAAGUCGAACGAACCUUCGGGUUAGUGGCGGACGGGUGAGUAACGCGUGAGAAUCUGCCCUCAGGAGGGGGAUAACGGUUGGAAACGACCGCUAAUACCCCAUAUGCCGCGAGGUGAAAUGAAUUUCGCCUGAGGAUGAGCUCGCGUCUGAUUAGUUAGUUGGUGGGGUAAAGGCCUACCAAGACAUCGAUCAGUAGCUGGUCUGAGAGGAUGAUCAGCCACACUGGGACUGAGACACGGCCCAGACUCCUACGGGAGGCAGCAGUGGGGAAUUUUCCGCAAUGGGCGAAAGCCUGACGGAGCAACGCCGCGUGAGGGAUGAAGGCCUCUGGGCUGUAAACCUCUUUUAUCAAGGAAGAAGAUCUGACGGUACUUGAUGAAUAAGCCACGGCUAAUUCCGUGCCAGCAGCCGCGGUAAUACGGGAGUGGCAAGCGUUAUCCGGAAUUAUUGGGCGUAAAGCGUCCGCAGGCGGUCUGUCAAGUCUGCUGUUAAAGCGUGGAGCUUAACUCCAUUUCGGCAGUGGAAACUGACAGACUAGAGUGUGGUAGGGGCAGAGGGAAUUCCCGGUGUAGCGGUGAAAUGCGUAGAUAUCGGGAAGAACACCAGUGGCGAAGGCGCUCUGCUGGGCCAUAACUGACGCUCAUGGACGAAAGCCAGGGGAGCGAAAGGGAUUAGAUACCCCUGUAGUCCUGGCCGUAAACGAUGAACACUAGGUGUCGGGGGAAUCGACCCCCUCGGUGUCGUAGCCAACGCGUUAAGUGUUCCGCCUGGGGAGUACGCACGCAAGUGUGAAACUCAAAGGAAUUGACGGGGGCCCGCACAAGCGGUGGAGUAUGUGGUUUAAUUCGAUGCAACGCGAAGAACCUUACCAGGGUUUGACAUCCUGCGAAUCUCUUGGAAACGAGAGAGUGCCUUCGGGAACGCAGUGACAGGUGGUGCAUGGCUGUCGUCAGCUCGUGUCGUGAGAUGUUGGGUUAAGUCCCGCAACGAGCGCAACCCACGUCGUUAGUUGCCAGCAUUUAGUUGGGCACUCUAGCGAGACCGCCGGUGAUAAACCGGAGGAAGGUGUGGAUGACGUCAAGUCAUCAUGCCCCUUACAUCCUGGGCUACACACGUACUACAAUGCUACGGACAAAGGGCAGCAAACUCGCGAGAGCUAGCAAAUCCCAUAAACCGUGGCUCAGUUCAGAUCGUAGGCUGCAACUCGCCUACGUGAAGGAGGAAUCGCUAGUAAUCGCAGGUCAGCAUACUGCGGUGAAUACGUUCCCGGGCCUUGUACACACCGCCCGUCACACCAUGGAAGUUGGCCACGCCCGAAGCCGUUACUCCAACCCUUGUGGAGGAGGACGUCGAAGGUGGGGCUGAUGACUGGGGUGAAGUCGUAACAAGGUAGCCGUACCGGAAGGUGCGGCUGGAUCACCUCCUAA
RNAcentral lists this ribosomal RNA (1485 nucleotides) under Vulcanococcus sp. RNAcentral describes it as "16S ribosomal RNA". It matches the Rfam family "Bacterial small subunit ribosomal RNA". The record is from RNAcentral. RNAcentral also lists the same sequence under 4 other names. Lineage: Bacteria; Bacillati; Cyanobacteriota; Cyanophyceae; Synechococcales; Synechococcaceae.